Molecule: ribosomal RNA, 226 nt
Filed under: uncultured bacterium
Lineage: Bacteria
Description: partial 16S ribosomal RNA
Rfam family: Bacterial small subunit ribosomal RNA
Source: RNAcentral
AUUGAACGCUGGCGGCAUGCCUUACACAUGCAAGUCGAGCGGCAGCGCGGGGGCAACCCUCGGCGGCGAGCGGCGGACGGGUGAGUAAUACAUCGGAACGUGUCCUUUCGUGGGGGAGUAACCAGUCGAAGACUGGCUAAUACCGCAUGAGAUCUCACGAUGAAAGCGAGGGACCCGAGGGUAACGUUCGGGCCGUCGCGCGAUUGGAGCGGCCGAUGCCGGAUUA